This 497-nucleotide ribosomal RNA is filed under the name uncultured bacterium. RNAcentral's name for it is "partial 16S ribosomal RNA". It matches the Rfam family "Bacterial small subunit ribosomal RNA", at positions 28 to 507 of the family's 1533-position model. The record is from RNAcentral.
GAUGAACGCUGGCGGCGUGCCUAAUACAUGCAAGUCGAGCGAACAGAUGAGGAGCUUGCUCCUCUGACGUUAGCGGCGGACGGGUGAGUAACACGUGGAUAACCUACCUAUAAGACUGGGAUAACUUCGGGAAACCGGAGCUAAUACCGGAUAAUAUAUUGAACCGCAUGGUUCAAUAGUGAAAGACGGUUUUGCUGUCACUUAUAGAUGGAUCCGCGCCGCAUUAGCUAGUUGGUAAGGUAACGGCUUACCAAGGCAACGAUGCGUAGCCGACCUGAGAGGGAGGUCGCCCACACUGGAACUGAGACACGGUCCAGACUCCUACGGUAGGCAGCAGUACGGAAUCCUCCGGAAGGGGCGAGAGCCUGACGUAGCAACGCCGCGUGAGUGAUGAAGGUCUUCGGAUCGUAAAGCUCUGUUAUUAGUAAAGUACAAAUGUGUAAUUAACUGUGCACAUCUUGACGGUACCUAAUCAGAAAGCCCCGGCUAACUACGUG